AUGGUCAAUCGCCCGUGCGCCAAGCUCGCGUUCAAGUUCUUCGGGCCCUACAAGAUCAUCGAGAAGAUCGGCUCACUUGCGUACAAGCUCGACCUGCCACUAGAGAGCCAGAUCCACCCCGUCUUCCACGUCUCGCAGUUGAAGCCAUUCACACCGGACUUCACGCCGGUGUACAGUGAGCUGCCCAAGGUGCCCGACCUCUCCACCACCGGUCUCUCUCCCACACGCGUCCUGGACCGGCGCAUGAUGAAGCUGGGGAAAGCGCCCGUGGUACAGAUCAAGGUACAAUGGGGAGUUGGGGACUCCGCACCAACGACGUGGGAGAACUACGACGUUCUUCGUCAGCGCUUUCCUUCUGCGGAGCUCUGGGAGGAAGAAGACGCUGGCGAUGACGUUGAAGGCGAAGAGGGCGAUGCACUGUCUUAA
Molecule: ribosomal RNA, 426 nt
Filed under: Triticum aestivum (bread wheat)
Lineage: Eukaryota; Viridiplantae; Streptophyta; Magnoliopsida; Poales; Poaceae
Description: partial small subunit ribosomal RNA
Source: RNAcentral